This 387-nucleotide ribosomal RNA is filed under the name uncultured bacterium. Its description in RNAcentral is "bacterial SSU rRNA". It matches the Rfam family "Bacterial small subunit ribosomal RNA", at positions 30 to 417 of the family's 1533-position model. The record is from RNAcentral.
AUUGAACGCUGGCGGAAUGCUUUACACAUGCAAGUCGAACGGCAGCACGAGGGCAACCUUGGUGGCGAGUGGCGAACGGGUGAGUAAUACAUCGGAACGUGCCCAGUCGUGGGGGAUAACGUAGCGAAAGCUACGCUAAUACCGCAUACGAUCCAUGGAUGAAAGCGGGGGACCGUAAGGCCUCGCGCGAUUGGAGCGGCCGAUGGCAGAUUAGGUAGUUGGUGGGGUAAAGGCUCACCAAGCCUGCGAUCUGUAGCUGGUCUGAGAGGACGACCAGCCACACUGGAACUGAGACACGGUCCAGACUCCUACGGGAGGCAGCAGUGGGGAAUUUUGGACAAUGGGCGCAAGCCUGAUCCAGCCAUUCCGCGUGCAGGAUGAAGGCCU